AGUAUAUAUGAGAGGUUCUCAUUAUCUGAGGUUGAUUAGUACCAGAAAAAGCUUAAGCUGAAUCCCUUUAAAACAGGGACAAAGAGGACAUAGAAAACGGUGGGAAAUGAAAAGUUCAAUUUAAACUUGGCUUUCAAAAUUAAAACUAAAAAUUAUGAAGGGGAUUUAUUUAUUUUACAUCUAAUACAUUUUAGAUUAUUAUCAUGGCUAUGUGCUAAAUCUUAGAACAAAGAAUUAAGAAAAUAUUGGGGAUUUUUGGUGUAAUUUAUCUAACAAAAUUGCAUCAUAGCACAAUACAAUUAGUUUUACUUCAUGUUUGGGUUUCUCAACAUGCUCAUAAAAAGAAUUUUUUGCGAAAACAUUCAAAGAUUUAUCAAUUUUCUAAAACACUGCUUUUUCUCUGGGAAUUCCAACAUGUCAUUAUUAUUGUCAAUUUUCUUUUCUUCAAUAAUCAACCGAUAAAACCCUGCUAGAAUUUCAUUUGUCAAGAACUUUCUGUCUGACUAUACUGCCAACAUCUCUUUCAUCAGUUAUAAAAUUCUGAGUACUUUCUAAAUUUUUUUCCUUUUUUGCAUUGUUCUCCCAACAUAUUUUUGAUGGAUUAUAAUAUCAGCUCGUUACCAAAGUUACUAUUAAACAAUGACAUUGGGAUUAUGAGUGAAGGUAGAUAUUAAACAAUGAAGAAUGUUGGAAUGGGUCAAUUCAUGUGAUAAAUGGUCAGUUUAUUAGGUUUGUGGUGUGUGUGUGUGUGUGUGUUAUGAUGACUUGCUUCCCUCUGCAGCUUGGCACUUGAAAAGGUUUGGAUAAUGAAUUCUUAGGUUAUGGGGACUCUGUCUCAGUUUUUGUAUUUUUUAAUAGUCACAUACUUAAUGUCUUACUGAAAUAAGUGCUUGGUUACUUUUGACUGAAUAAAGAAUUGAUGGAUCAAGUGAGCAAAUAAGUGGAGAAAUAGGAGGAAAUGAACAACGAUCAGCUCUAGUUUUAUACUGCAGAAUUUACUUUUUGGUAAGAAAGCCACACACAGGAAUAGCUAAUCUCAGUGAGAUAAAACAAACACAACAACAAAGAUGAAAAGGAUGUGAGACUUAGACCUGAUUUCUCCAUUUACAAAACAGCAUCAAUUUGUCCAGGGUUCCUGAUGAAAACGUGUAGGUUCUUGCUGGGUCUGUCCCUUGGCAGAGUAAUGAAGGAGGAAUAUCUAUAAAAAUAAAAAUAAUUGUGGUGAAAACUGGCAUCUACCCUUUUUCCUUAUACACAUUCUUUUAGAAAUUCUGACCUCAGGGAGUCCAGGGGGGCUACAAAACUAAAGUAUAAACACAUCAUCUCAUGGAAACAUUUCCUUUAAGAGUUGGAGAGAAGAAUUAUAUUUUCGAAUAGAAUACAAGCUGGCUAUAUACUUGUAUAAUAAAACUUGUUUUCUAAGAAAUUUUACUUUUGCAGAAGGUCUUGAGGCUACAUCUAUAAGAAGCACCCCCACACACACCCUUUAGGUGCUCCCCUACACUUGAGUGAAAAAUUUUAGAAAACUCUCCAUCUGUCAUGUUAUCCUCUCAACUCUAUUACACAGACAUCAUUAUUUUUGGUUUGCAUAUGAAGAAACUCAGCUAUAGAGAAGUUUUUUUUUAAUUUUUAAUUAUAGCUGACUUACAAUGUUCUGUCAAUUUCUGCUAGACAGCAAAGUGACCCAGUCAUACACACAAACAUACAUAUAUAUAUAUACACACACACAUUUAUACAUAUAUAUAUAUACAUUCUUUUUCUCAAAUUAUCUUCUAUCAUGUUCUAUCACAAGUGAUUGGAUAUACUUCCCCAUGCUGUAAGCAGGACCUCAUUGCCUAUAUUACUAAAUGUAAUAGUUUGCAUCUACUAACUCCAAAUUCCCAGUCCAUCUCACUCCCUCCCCCACCUCUUGGAAACCACAAGUCUGUUCUCUAAGCCUGUGAGUCGCUACAGAGAAGUUGUGGAUGAAAGCUUGCACACUCAUUAGUGACAGAAUUCUGCUUUCCCCAAACUGCAUUGUCGAGUAGCCAAGAUGACCUGUCCUAUAUCCAUGUCCUCCUUUGCAUUUUUCUUUCCCUUUGAGUGAGUCUCCUGUCCAGAUGCCCAUCUCUAUAAGGACUUAUUCCCUAGAUUCCUAGAGAAAACAAUCUAAGGAUGUGUCUUUACUCUUCAGGGCUCUCCAGAGCAGUUGCAUUUGAAAAGAAGACUGCUGGGACAGAGUAAAGGAAUUGCUCUUCCUGGCAUUUGCUCACAGACAGCCUGGGGCAAUGCACUGGGUGUUGGUGCGCUUUCCUCCAAUGAUACUGUAUGAAAAUUUUUAGACAUGUCAGGCCAGUUCCUUUUUAAAGAGAUAGCCAAAAAGACAUCCAUGAAGUAAUGUCCUAGCCUGCCUUCCCAGCAUUCCAGGUAGAGUUGAUGGAGAGGGAGCCAGGCAAGUCAGGGGUCUGCUGACCACAGAGAGCAGAAGCUUGCCUGCUGCCUCAUUUAAUCAACAGAUCUUGAAGCCCAUUUGACAUUAGACACACUUCUAACUCCCAGGGUGAAAAUACAUGAAUACACAAAAGAUGAAAGAUUGAACAAUAUCCUAAAAUAGCUCUAGGGAAGAUUGUUGCCCUGAGGGGGAACUGAGAUCCAUUUCAGGAACUUGUGGAGGCCUGUCGUCUCAGCUGACUUCGAAGCUGAAAUAUUAGCCCUCCUCCCUCGUCUCUGCAACACAAAUAGUAGAGCCAUUACCUGAAGAAGUUGAGUCUGUUGGUCAAUCAUUUUAGAAAACUCACUUGGCUCUUCUAAAACACAGGAAUUUAGGGGUUGAAAACAAGCUUAUGAUCUCCAGGACUGGCCCAGCACUCCAACUUGUGGAUAAACCACAAUAGGACAUAAUAUUCUUUCUUGCUAAGCUCCUAUAUAAUUCUGGUUUGAAUAUGUCCAUACUUGUGGUUUCUAUUUCUGCCCUAGUUUUGCUUCCUAAACUUCAGAAAGUUUGGUUCUGAGUCUCUCUCUUGCUCUUUCUCCUGUGCAUACACACGCACACACGCAUAUACAUAUACACUUUACUUCUUUUAAUAGGUUUUCUUUUUACAUGAUAAUUAGAGGAUUGCAGAAACAUAGGCCAAAGGUCUUAUCUGACUGGCUAAGCAGGGCUUUCUAAUAGAAUUUGUUUAUCU
Molecule: long non-coding RNA, 3164 nt
Filed under: Sus scrofa (pig)
Lineage: Eukaryota; Metazoa; Chordata; Mammalia; Artiodactyla; Suidae
Description: lncRNA (ENSSSCG00000053587.1)
Source: RNAcentral